Molecule: transfer RNA, 77 nt
Filed under: Rickettsiales bacterium
Lineage: Bacteria; Pseudomonadati; Pseudomonadota; Alphaproteobacteria; Rickettsiales
Description: tRNA-Val
Rfam family: tRNA
About the family: Transfer RNA (tRNA) molecules are approximately 80 nucleotides in length. Their secondary structure includes four short double-helical elements and three loops (D, anti-codon, and T loops).
Source: RNAcentral
GGGCGAUUAGCUCAGCUGGUCAGAGCACCUGCCUUACAAGCAGGGUGUCAUAAGUUCGAAUCUUAUAUCGCCCACCA